Molecule: ribosomal RNA, 425 nt
Filed under: uncultured Acidobacteriota bacterium
Lineage: Bacteria; Pseudomonadati; Acidobacteriota
Description: bacterial SSU rRNA
Rfam family: Bacterial small subunit ribosomal RNA
Source: RNAcentral
GGGGAAUUGUUCACAAUGGGCGCAAGCCUGAUGACGCAACGCCGCGUGGAGGAUGAAGGUCUUCGGAUUGUAAACUCCUGUUGCCCGGGACGAAAAGCUUCGACCUAAUACGUCGAAGUCUGACGGUACCGGGUGAGGAAGCCCCGGCUAACUCUGUGCCAGCAGCCGCGGUAAUACAGAGGGGGCAAGCGUUGUUCGGAAUUACUGGGCGUAAAGGGCGCGUAGGCGGCCUGCUAAGUCGAACGUGACAUCCCCGGGCUCAACCCGGGAACUGCGUCCGAUACUGGUAGGAUUGAAUUCGGGAGAGGGAUGCGGAAUUCCAGGUGUAGCGGUGAAAUGCGUAGAUAUCUGGAGGAACACCGGUGGCGAAGGCGGCAUCCUGGACCGACAUUGACGCUGAGGCGCGAAAGCCAGGGGAGCAAACG